CAGUAGCCGCGGGAAUACAGAGGGUGCGAGCGUUAAUCGGAUUUACUGGGCGUAUAGCGUGCGUAGGCGGCUUCUUAAGUCGGAUGUGAAAUCCCUGAGCUUAACUUAGGAAUUGCAUUCGAUACUGGGAAGCUAGAGUAUGGGAGAGGAUGGUAGAAUUCCAGGUGUAGCGGUGAAAUGCGUAGAGAUCUGGAGGAAUACCGAUGGCGAAGGCAGCCAUCUGGCCUAAUACUGACGCUGAGGUACGAAAGCAUGGGGAGCAAACAGGAUUAGAUACCCCUGUAGUCCCUGUCUCUUAUAC
This 301-nucleotide ribosomal RNA is filed under the name uncultured bacterium. RNAcentral describes it as "partial 16S ribosomal RNA". It matches the Rfam family "Bacterial small subunit ribosomal RNA", at positions 509 to 807 of the family's 1533-position model. The record is from RNAcentral.